ACCUACGGGCGGCAGCAGUGGGGAAUAUUGCGCAAUGGGCGAAAGCCUGACGCAGCGACGCCGCGUGAGGGAUGAAGGUCUUCGGAUCGUAAACCUCUGUCAGCAGGGAAGAACGGUAACUGUGCUAAUCAGCAGUGAAUUGAGGGUACCUGAAAAGGAAGCACCGGCUAACUCCGUGCAAGCAGCCGCGGUAAUGCGGGGGGUGCGAGCGUUAAUCGGAAUUACGGGGCGUAAAGCGCUCGUAGGCGGUAUGUCAAGUCAAGGGUGAAAUCCCGGGGCUCAACGUGGGA
Molecule: ribosomal RNA, 290 nt
Filed under: uncultured bacterium
Lineage: Bacteria
Description: partial 16S ribosomal RNA
Rfam family: Bacterial small subunit ribosomal RNA
Source: RNAcentral